CCUGGCGGCCUUAGCGCGGUGGUCCCACCUGACCCCAUGCCGAACUCAGAAGUGAAACGCCGUAGCGCCGAUGGUAGUGUGGGGUCUCCCCAUGCGAGAGUAGGGAACUCUCACCA
RNAcentral lists this ribosomal RNA (116 nucleotides) under Escherichia coli. The record is from RNAcentral. Lineage: Bacteria; Pseudomonadati; Pseudomonadota; Gammaproteobacteria; Enterobacterales; Enterobacteriaceae.